GUUGACAUCAUAUGUUAACAAGCAAACACUUGCAUAGUCGGAACAUUUAACAUUCAAAAGUAAACAAGUUAAGUGAUGGAUCACCACCGCCAGUGUGUAACGUUAAAACAAACACAAUACUUGUAGAAAGCAAACACCACAAUUCAGUCAUUGAUGCACCUUUUGUAACAAAAGGUAAUAACAUAGCAAGUGAUAUACAAAGCCAAGGAUGAAUUGCCCGCCCGGUACCAUGGUAUCCGGACAACUGGAAGCACAAUGCUAGGUCCCACUGCACACAAGACCCCCACUGGUUUGCAUGCUUCCUCCCAUGUGGGUAGCCAGGCUUGAGAACCUGUGAUCUGCCUGCCUAAAAAUGGCGGCACCACUAGAGACAUUGGUGAUACCAGAGCAGGUCGCUUGAAGUGCCAGAUUGGCCAAUUCUUGAACGAUAACUUUCAAGUUCUGAUGUCUCAUUCCUUUGAUGCAACUGGAUGGUAUCUGGGAUGACAUGCACGUUACCUGUGGAAGUUGGAUUAGACUGUUGGAGCCUUUUUGUGCUGAGAAAGCGUCCACCGGAACCCCUAACCCGAUUUAAUGCAUGCAGAUGCCGAGACUCAUGAAGAUAUGGCUUUCGACUUUUGACAAGCUUGUUCUGAGCCUCUAGCUUUGCACGUGAUUUUCUCCUCCUGAGAAUUCCAUGGUACUGUUUUGCAUUAACAUAAAUGGGCCCAUCAUCCGCAAGAUCAAGAGGCAGGGGAACUCGUGCUGUUGUCAUCCCCACCAUCUGAGAACCCAGAAUGGCCUGUGGUCCAUAUGGAGUAAAUAGUCCACCGAAGUAAUUAUCAGCAUUGGGAAAUGGAGCUCGAGCCAUUGAGUGACUAUCGUCAGUCUGUGAAGUAUUAAGUGCAAUUUCUGGAGUACUAAACAAGAAAACUGGCUUCAUCCUGCCUUCUGCACCCUUCCCACAACCUUCAUCUUGACCAGAUUCAGAUGAAAUGCAUUGAUCUUGUGAAUUGGUCUCCCCCACAGUGCCCACUUCAUUGUGAGAUUGACCAAUUGAUUGAGUUGAAGAUGAUUCUUGGUCCAGGAGCUGAAGACCAAAAUGCUUUGCUUUGUGAUAAAGUUGGGAUGGAGAUUCCACUUUUAAGCCUAUAUUCUUGGAUAAAGACUGCGAUAUUUGCUGUUCAUUUGAAUGCCACCAGGAUGGGCUACUAAAAAUAAAGGGGGCUUGACCAAAAUUUUUCUUGGGCAAGUUCUGAAUUCGUACAGCCAUCUAGUUUAUCUAUAUGUCACGAAUUUGAUGAAAAUCCUUAACAAAGCACUGAUUCUUUUUGCUAGCUUUUGAUAUUACUGAUUAGCUGUCUUUGGGAUCUGGUAAGUCAAGUAGAAGCAACGAAUUGAGCUGUUGGGAAGAACUUAGGCAUGUCUCCUCUCUUGAAACUCUCCACGAAAACCUCUCUCUCUCUCUCUCUCUCUCU
RNAcentral lists this unclassified non-coding RNA (1457 nucleotides) under Hevea brasiliensis (rubber tree). Lineage: Eukaryota; Viridiplantae; Streptophyta; Magnoliopsida; Malpighiales; Euphorbiaceae. The record is from RNAcentral.